UACAGAGGGUGCAAGCGUUAAUCGGAAUGACUGGGCGUAAAGGGCGUGUAGGCGGAUAUAUAAGUUAGAUGUGAAAUCCCUGGGCUUAACCUAGGAACUGCAUCUAAUACUGUAAAUCUAGAGUAUGUGAGAGGAGAGUGGAAUUUCCGGUGUAGCGGUGAAAUGCGUAGAUAUCGGAAGGAACAUCAGUGGCGAAGGCGGCUCUCUGGCAUGAUACUGACGCUGAGGCGCGAAAGCGUGGGUAGCGAACAGG
RNAcentral lists this ribosomal RNA (253 nucleotides) under uncultured bacterium. RNAcentral's name for it is "partial 16S ribosomal RNA". It matches the Rfam family "Bacterial small subunit ribosomal RNA", at positions 524 to 776 of the family's 1533-position model. The record is from RNAcentral.